UGAAAUGGACUUUGUAUGCAUCAAACAAAGAUAUGGAAAAUGAAUUCUACAUCUAGUGAAAUGGCUUUAUAUUCUCUAAAAUGACAACAAAAAAGCAAAAAUGAUAAAAAUAGUAGUUGUGCAUGUGUAGAACACACAGAUCUAAACAUCUAUAGUAGUUCAAUCCUCCUGUGAAUCCUUUCUGGUUAAAUUUGCUAACAUAAUAACUGAUAUCCUCUUCUGACAGCCAAGAAGGCAAACUCGGAGAAUCAGGUAAACCUCUGAAUCCUCUUUCUUUAGGUACACAAGGUGGAUUUGGAUUGCGAGAAGUAAGAAAUCUUCUUAUCACUUUGCAGUACCAGCUUGGGCUAAGUCAUCUUCAAUCUCUCCUGGUUCCUGAAACCUGCAGAUGCAGAAAUCAUUGCCUAAUAAUUUUCUGAAACUUUCCACAGGCUAAAUUUACAAGGGGGUUCCUGGGUGAGAAUAUGACGCUUGUGUUAACUAAGGCCUUGAUUCUAUCAGGUCUA
Molecule: unclassified non-coding RNA, 506 nt
Filed under: Hevea brasiliensis (rubber tree)
Lineage: Eukaryota; Viridiplantae; Streptophyta; Magnoliopsida; Malpighiales; Euphorbiaceae
Source: RNAcentral